GAUGAACGCUGGCGGCGUGCUUAACACAUGCAAGUCGAACGGUGAACACGGAGCUUGCUCUGUGGGAUCAGUGACGAACGGGUGAGUAACACGUGAGCAACCUGCCCCUGACUCUGGGAUAAGCGCUGGAAACGGCGUCUAAUACUGGAUAUGUGACGUGAUCGCAUGGUCUGCGUCUGGAAAGAAUUUCGGUUGGGGAUGGGCUCGCGGCCUAUCAGCUUGUUGGUGAGGUAAUGGCUCACCAAGGCGUCGACGGGUAGCCGGCCUGAGAGGGUGACCGGCCACACUGGGACUGAGACACGGCCCAGACUCCUACGGGAGGCAGCAGUGGGGAAUAUUGCACAAUGGGCGCAAGCCUGAUGCAGCAACGCCGCGUGAGGGAUGACGGCCUUCGGGUUGUAAACCUCUUUUAGCAGGGAAGAAGCGAAAGUGACGGUACCUGCAGAAAAAGCGCCGGCUAACUACGUG
This 468-nucleotide ribosomal RNA is filed under the name uncultured bacterium. RNAcentral describes it as "partial 16S ribosomal RNA". It matches the Rfam family "Bacterial small subunit ribosomal RNA", at positions 28 to 507 of the family's 1533-position model. The record is from RNAcentral.